GCAAAGAGCUGCAGCCUGAGCUGCUGACGAGGUUUAGGGCGUGGGAGAGAAAGGAAAAAUCCUCAUAUCCAUAAAGACAGCUCCCAAAAUCCCAGAAGACCCUCCCGGACAAAUCCUUCCUGCCUCGUCGUAUUGUUGUCUGUCUUUCGUUCUCAGAGAAGACCAUCACAAGGGUGAUGUCUUAAGGGCCCGGUCCCUCCACAGACCCUCCUCAGAGAGUGAUCUAACUGUACCUGCCCAGGCAUGAUCUCUUCCAUCUUCAGGCACUUCCUGAAGCUGUUUCUUAUCACCUGGGGCCCCUUCCAACUUUUGGAAUAAAUGACAGAACACUCUACCUCUCUCCUUGG
Molecule: long non-coding RNA, 347 nt
Filed under: Vombatus ursinus (common wombat)
Lineage: Eukaryota; Metazoa; Chordata; Mammalia; Diprotodontia; Vombatidae
Description: lncRNA (ENSVURG00010018315.1)
Source: RNAcentral